RNAcentral lists this ribosomal RNA (494 nucleotides) under uncultured bacterium. Its description in RNAcentral is "partial 16S ribosomal RNA". It matches the Rfam family "Bacterial small subunit ribosomal RNA", at positions 28 to 507 of the family's 1533-position model. The record is from RNAcentral.
GACGAACGCUGGCGGCGCGCUUAACACAUGCAAGUCGAACGGUGAAGCGCCUUCCUUUUUGGUGGGUGUGGAUGAGUGGCGAACGGGUGAGUAACACGUGAGUAACCUGCCCCCUUCUUCUGGAUAACCGCAUGAAAGUGUGGCUAAUACGGGAUAUUCUGGGUCUGUCGCAUGAUGGGUCUGGGAAAGAUAUUGUUUCGGUGGGGGAUGGGCUCGCGGCCUAUCAGCUUGUUGGUGGGGUGAUGGCCUACCAAGACGGUGACGGGUAGCCGGCCUGAGAGGGUGGACGGUCACACUGGGACUGAGACACGGCCCAGACUCCUACGGGAGGCAGCAGUGGGGAAUAUUGCACAAUGGGCGCAAGCCUGAUGCAGCGACGCCGCGUGAGGGAUGGAGGCCUUCGGGUUGUGAACCUCUUUCGCCAGUGAAGCAGGCCUGCCUCGUUUGUGGGUGGGUUGACGGUAGCUGGAUAAGAAGCGCCGGCUAACUACGUG